UACGUAGGGGGCAAGCGUUAUCCGGAUUCACUGGGUGUAAAGGGAGCGUAGACGGCGACGCAAGUCUGGAGUGAAAGCCCGGGGCCCAACCCCGGGACUGCUCUGGAAACUGCGUCGCUGGAGUACGGGAGGGGCAGGCGGAAUUCCUGGUGUAGCGGUGAAAUGCGUAGAUAUCAGGAGGAACACCAGUGGCGAAGGCGGCCUGCUGGACGACAACUGGCGCUGAGGCGCGAAAGCGUGGGGAGCAAACAGG
Molecule: ribosomal RNA, 253 nt
Filed under: uncultured bacterium
Lineage: Bacteria
Description: partial 16S ribosomal RNA
Rfam family: Bacterial small subunit ribosomal RNA
Source: RNAcentral